Long non-coding RNA from Calliphora vicina (urban bluebottle blowfly), 419 nucleotides. RefSeq lists it as uncharacterized. Lineage: Eukaryota; Metazoa; Arthropoda; Insecta; Diptera; Calliphoridae. The transcript is spliced from 2 exons. The record is from RefSeq and is a predicted model, not a curated record.
ACAGAGAAAUUGGCAACUCUGGUUUUAGCCCAUUUAAUAUAUUGUGGUCGUUUUUCUACGUUUAUUGAGAAUGAAUGAAGAAAACUGUUAAAUUCAACAUUUUCACAUGUUAUAGAUUGUAUUUACAGUUGGUCUCUCUGUGCCAGAGCAUUUUGCUAUUUUCAAAUAUGUUGUAGUUUUUUUUUUUUCUCACAGCAAACCAAAGAACCGAUGGGAAAAAAACAAAUCACAAAAGCUCUGUUAAGUACAUUGUUAGAUUAACAGAAGACAGAGUGCACAGUGUAGUGCUUGACUGUUUGAGUACGAUGAUUAUUUUUUAAAUCAGUCUAAAUAACGACGUGGUUGUGUAACGACGUUUGUUUCUCCGGUUUGUCUAUUGCUCGUACUACACCAAAAACCAAAGAAAGAAAAAAAGGAAA